GUGAGGGCACCGCCGCCGCGCUUUGCCCCCCGCAGCGGGGCGAUGGGUAUCCGCUACCGCUCGAAGGGCGCUGGUACCUGAGGAGGAGGAGGAGGAGGGUAAGCACGGCGCGAGCUCUUCGGGCUUCACGCCCGUUUCGCAGAUGCGGUGCGGCGCUCCGCCGCUUCUCCCACUCUUCCAAACAGCGCGAGGCGCAGCCUGGGAGCUGCGGCAGCUUCACUGCCCGCGCCCAAGAUGGCCGGCGGAAGCGGUCUGAGGGCACUCUGCCCUCACUCUAUCGCCGGGAAGGCGGGGCGCGGCGCUGGGUCCUCCACGCUGCUUGUGCUGCCUGAGGGAGCGGCCGUAGAAGGGCGGAGUUUCGCUCCUCAGUAUCUCCAUGCGGUCGCCGGAGCACAGCGAAGCCUUUCACCGAACCCACCCCGCCCCUUGUGGGUCCUCCAUCCGUGUUUUGUCUCAACAUGGCCCGUCCCUGCCCUAUGAUCCCCCUCAGCAGCCCGCGCUCCCCCUGAGGCCUACCUGCCUCAGCCCCACACGGGGACGUGGCGGCCUGUGGGCCUUCUCUGGGCACAGAGCGGCUCCAGAGAGGAAACCGCUGCUGGGAAGUGGUGGAAGCGCUGCCGCAGCCCUGCAUCUGGGGGAGAGCGGGGAGAUGGAGCGGCCACACUUGGAUUCCAUUGCUCCGGUACUGGGCUGAGCGUGGUGGGGUGUGUGGGAGCACAGGGAGGUGACCUCAGAAAUAUUUCUGUGUAAGUCGUCAGCUGUGGGAAUGAGCUCAGCUCGCAGCCUCGCCAGGGUGAUGUGUGAGCCCCGUCAUCCUGGGCUGCCCAGAGAUCUCUGCUGGGAUUGAGGAACUGCCCAUGUCCCAGAGGCUGAGAGCCCUCCUGGGCCAACCUCUGGUCUCCAGUGCAGCUCUGCAAUCCAGGUGCUGUCCCUACAAGGACACAAGAACUUCCUGGUGUCCUGCAGCAAAGCUGGUAGCCCCAAACCCGUAUCCUGCAGCCCCAAGCCUUGUGCAAUUCCAUCUCCUGUGCUCUUUGCCUGCUCCUUGUGUCCCCAGCGUGGUUCAUCCCCAGCUGAAAGCUUCCCAUUGCAGCACCAGCGCCCGUCCCCCUGCCAAGCCCUGCAACCCGGCCAGCCCCCGGUGCAGCGCAGCACUGCUAUUUCUGGCUCCACCUUGAGACACGUGCAGUGAUGCUAAAAGAGACCAACGCAGGCUGAGCGGGCAUCGGGAGCAGCUGGGACACAAAUGGCUGCAGCUCGCCCUGCACACAGCUCCCACUGCACACAGCUCUCACGGGCUCUGUGCAGGCAGUCAGAGCUCCACAUCAUGGUUUACGCCGGAUGGGGGAGCAGUGGUGGGGGCAGUGGGGAUCUGGCUCUGCUCUGCAUUUUUUCCCCAAGGGAAAACCAUCUCGCUGGCUGCACGGCAGCAGGAAGAGCCUGGGGACAGCACAGAGCAGAGAUGGGUUUAAUUGCUGUGUAUAAUCCUCAGAUUCUUGCACAGCUCGGGGCAAAUCUUGUCUGCUUCUCCUGCCUCAGUUUCCCCAGGCAGAGCAUCCCGCAGCCCUCCGGCAGGGAGCAGAGGGUGCCUGAGCUGCUGUCUGCAUGGCAGGGGGAUACCCCAUGAGAAGUGUGUGGUGAUGGGGACCAACCCCUGCAGGGCCACCUCCGGGUGGGUCGAGAUGAACCCAAUGCCCACGGAUUCCCAAGCACUGAGAUCCUCCCGUGCAAGGGAGCGCGUUGAGGUUCCUGUCAUUAAGAUAACCCCAAUCCGCACUGAGCUGUGAUGGAAGCAAUCCCGUUUCGGUACCAAGCCCUGUGUCUGGGGGCAGACAGGUGGUGUCUGUGCGGGAUGGGAUGGGAUCGGCCAUGGGGGGAGAAGUGCUGCUUCCCCAUGGUACGUAGGCAGGACAGGGGUUGGCACAUGGAACCCCAUUCCCCCACAGCACAGCGGGGUGCUGACUCCUACCAAAGCAUUUUCGGGACUCAGCACAACAAGGGCAGAGCACAACAAGGGCAGAGCCCAACGCGGCCCCACGGCACCUGCCAGCAGCCGUUCUCAUUUCCUCCCUCCACGUCCCGUGCUGAGCGGAAAUACAACGUGUGUUAGUCACCAGGAAGGCCGGCAGCGUGCGGCUGCUUCCUGCACCGGCACCGGGCGGGGGGUGAGCUCUGACCCACAGCACAGCCACGCCGUGCAGCGCCCCCCUCCCCACCUCCCCCAGCACCGCACGGCGCUCGGGAUCCACCCCCGCUCUGCCUUAUCCCCUUGGAUAGUGCAGAGCACCGAGCGCUGCUGUGGGGCUCCUCUGUUUUUAGGUAUCCCCAUAAAGCAAAACCCAUCCAGCUCUGCCGUGUGCACGUCUGGGUGUUCGUCCCCCACCCUCCCUGAAUCUGUAGGGUGGGUUUCAAUGGGCACGGGGGUGAGAAGGCUGCUGGAAGUGGGAAGAGUAUUGUCCCCUUGUGCUGGGAGUUAUGGGGUCCCUGCUGGGUUUGGCUCCGUGCUCGGGGUUAUCGGGUCUGGGCUUUGG
RNAcentral lists this long non-coding RNA (2531 nucleotides) under Gallus gallus (chicken). RNAcentral's name for it is "long non-coding RNA NONGGAT003270". The record is from RNAcentral. Lineage: Eukaryota; Metazoa; Chordata; Aves; Galliformes; Phasianidae.